GUAGUCCAUGCCGUAAACGAUGGAUGCUAGCUAUUUGGCGGUAUCGACCCCGUCAGAAGCGAAGCUAACGCGUUAAGCAUCCCGCCUGAGUAGUACGAGCGCAAGCUUAAAACUCAAAGGAAUUGACGGGGACCCGCACAAGCGGUGGAGCGUGUGGUUUAAUUCGAUGAUAAGCGAAGAACCUUACCAAGGUUUGACAUCCUCAGAAGGCUUCCGAAAGGAAACUGUGCCCUCGGGAACUGAGUGACAGGUGAUGCAUGGCCGUCGUCAGCUCGUGUCGUGAGAUGUUGGGUUAAGUCCCGCAACGAGCGCAACCCUUAUGUUUAGUUGAAUUUUUCUAAACAGACUGCCCUGGUAACAGGGAGGAAGGAGGGGAUGAUGUCAGGUCAGUAUUUCCCUUACACCUUGGGCUACACACGCGCUACAAUGGCCGGUACAAUGGGCAGCCAACCCGCAAGGGGGAGCAAAUCCCAUCAAAGCCGGUCCCAAUUCGGAUCGGGGGCUGAAACUCGCCCCCGUGAAGCCGGAAUCGCUAGUAACCAGCAGGUCAGCACACUGCGGUGAAUACGUUCUCGGGUCUUGUACACACCGCCCGUCAAGCCAUGAAAGUCGGGAGCACCCGAAGUCCGAGCUUUAGCUCGGCCUAAGGUGAAUUCGAUGAUUGGGGUU
This 669-nucleotide ribosomal RNA is filed under the name uncultured bacterium. RNAcentral describes it as "bacterial SSU rRNA". It matches the Rfam family "Bacterial small subunit ribosomal RNA", at positions 790 to 1482 of the family's 1533-position model. The record is from RNAcentral.